UACAGAGGUGGCAAGCGUUGUUCGGAAUUACUGGGCGUAAAGGGCGCGUAGGCGGCCCGUCAAGUCGCGUGUGAAAGCCCCCGGCUCAACUGGGGAGGGUCACGCGAUACUGAUCGACUGGAAGGCAGGAGAGGGUAGUGGAAUUCCCGGUGUAGUGGUGAAAUGCGUAGAUAUCGGGAGGAACACCAGUGGCGAAGGCGACUACCUGGCCUGUUCUUGACGCUGAGGCGCGAAAGCUAGGGGAGCAAACGGG
Molecule: ribosomal RNA, 253 nt
Filed under: uncultured bacterium
Lineage: Bacteria
Description: partial 16S ribosomal RNA
Rfam family: Bacterial small subunit ribosomal RNA
Source: RNAcentral